CUUACGCGUAGGGCUACACACGUGCUACAAUGGUCGGUACAGAGGGUUGCAAUGCCGCGAGGUGGAGCCAAUCCCAGAAAACCGGUCGUAGUCCGGAUCGGAGUCUGCAACUCGACUCCGUGAAGUCGGAAUCGCUAGUAAUCGCGAAUCAGAAUGUCGCGGUGAAUACGUUCCCGGGCCUUGUACACACCGCCCGUCACACCAUGGGAGUGGGUUGCACCAGAAGUAGCUAGUCUAACCUUCGGGAGGACGGUUACCACGGUGUGAUUCAUGACUGGGGUGAAGUCGUAACAAGGUAGCCGUAGGGGAACCUGCGGCUGGAUCACCUCCUUA
This 333-nucleotide ribosomal RNA is filed under the name uncultured bacterium. RNAcentral describes it as "bacterial SSU rRNA". It matches the Rfam family "Bacterial small subunit ribosomal RNA", at positions 1201 to 1533 of the family's 1533-position model. The record is from RNAcentral.